CGUAGGGUGCGAGCGUUAAUCGGAAUUACUGGGCGUAAAGCGUGCGCAGGCGGUUUGUUAAGAUAGGCGUGAAAUCCCCGGGCUCAACCUGGGAACUGCGCUUAUGACUGGCAAGCUAGAGUACGGCAGAGGGGGGUGGAAUUCCACGUGUAGCAGUGAAAUGCGUAGAGAUGUGGAGGAACACCAAUGGCGAAGGCAGCCCCCUGGGUCGAUACUGACGCUCAUGCACGAAAGCGUGGGUAGCAAACAGGAUUAGAUACCCUGGUAGUCCACGCCCUAAACGAUGUCAACUAGGUGUUGGAUGGGGUAAAACCAUUUAGUACCGGAGCUAACGCGUGAAGUUGACCGCCUGGGGAGUACGGCCGCAAGGUUA
RNAcentral lists this ribosomal RNA (373 nucleotides) under uncultured organism. Its description in RNAcentral is "bacterial SSU rRNA". It matches the Rfam family "Bacterial small subunit ribosomal RNA", at positions 526 to 896 of the family's 1533-position model. The record is from RNAcentral.